This 230-nucleotide long non-coding RNA is filed under the name Lupinus angustifolius (narrow-leaved blue lupine). Its description in RNAcentral is "long non-coding RNA (LANG_LNC003217)". Lineage: Eukaryota; Viridiplantae; Streptophyta; Magnoliopsida; Fabales; Fabaceae. The record is from RNAcentral.
CUCCUCUUACACAUCUACACUAAAACAAUGGCGGGUUUUUUAGGGUUAAUUGUAGAUGGACUCUAAGAGGGUUAACGUGUGUAUCCCUGCAACUUAAUUGAGAGUUUUCCUUUCUUGAUCUCUUCCAUAUCUCAAGUUUUUUCUUUCUAUUUUGUAAACGUGUGUGUGAGACUAGAAUAUAAGGCUUGGUUUUGUCUCUAGGCCUAGUAGAGUUAGUGAGGAUAAUAGAG